GUCCAGACUCCUACGGGAGGCAGCAGUGGGGAAUAUUGCACAAUGGGGGGAACCCUGAUGCAGCGACGCCGCGUGAGCGAUGAAGUAUUUCGGUAUGUAAAGCUCUAUCAGCAGGGAAGAAAAUGACGGUACCUGACUAAGAAGCCCCGGCUAACUACGUGCCAGCAGCCGCGGUAAUACGUAGGGGGCAAGCGUUAUCCGGAUUUACUGGGUGUAAAGGAAGCGUAGACGGCUGUGCAAGCCAGAUGUGAAAGCCCGGGGCUCAACCCCGGGACUGCAUUUGGAACUGCGUGGCUUUAGUGUCGGAGGGGCAGGCGGAAUUCCUGGUGUAGCGGUGAAAUGCGUAGAUAUUAGGAGGAACACCAGUGGCGAAGGCGGUCUGCUGGACAGCAACUGACGCUGAGGCGCGAAAGCGUGGGGAGCAAACAGGAUUAGAUACCCCUGUA
This 446-nucleotide ribosomal RNA is filed under the name uncultured bacterium. Its description in RNAcentral is "bacterial SSU rRNA". It matches the Rfam family "Bacterial small subunit ribosomal RNA", at positions 329 to 792 of the family's 1533-position model. The record is from RNAcentral.